RNAcentral lists this ribosomal RNA (494 nucleotides) under uncultured bacterium. RNAcentral describes it as "partial 16S ribosomal RNA". It matches the Rfam family "Bacterial small subunit ribosomal RNA", at positions 28 to 507 of the family's 1533-position model. The record is from RNAcentral.
GAUGAACGCUAGCUACAGGCUUAACACAUGCAAGUCGAGCGGCAGCAUGAUUGAAGCUUGCUUCAAUCGAUGGCGACCGGCGCACGGGUGAGUAACACGUAUCCAACCUGCCGAUAACUCGGGGCUAGCCUUUCGAAAGAAAGAUUAAUACCCGUUAGUAUAGUAUUUCCGCAUGGUUUCACUAUUAAAGAUCUUCGGUUAUCGUUGGGGAUGCGUUCCAUUAGAUAGUUGGCGGUGUAACGGCACAACAAGGCGACGAUGGAUAGGCGAUCUGAGAGGAGGAUCAGCCACACUGGAACUGAGACACGGUCCAGACGCAGACGGGAGGCAGCAGUAGGGAAUCGUCGGCAAUGGGCGAAAGCCUGACGGAGCAACGCCGCGUGAGUGAUGAAGGUCUUCGGAUCGUAAAACUCUGUUAUUAGGGAAGAACAAAUGUGUAAGAAACUAUGCACGUCUUGACGGUACAUAAUCAGAAAGCCACGGCUAACGGCGUG